GGAGACAUAGUUCAAGUGGUAGAGCAUCAGUAUAGCAAGCUCAAGGUCCUGAGAGUUUGAAUCCCAGUACCUCCA
Molecule: transfer RNA, 75 nt
Filed under: Dipodomys ordii (Ord's kangaroo rat)
Lineage: Eukaryota; Metazoa; Chordata; Mammalia; Rodentia; Heteromyidae
Rfam family: tRNA
About the family: Transfer RNA (tRNA) molecules are approximately 80 nucleotides in length. Their secondary structure includes four short double-helical elements and three loops (D, anti-codon, and T loops).
Source: Rfam by way of RNAcentral